GAUUAGGCUUUCCCUCAGAUAACGGCGUAGUGAAGCGGCAAAAGCUCAAAUUUGAAAUCUGGCUCUUUUAGAGUCCGAGUUGUAAUUUGUAGAAGAUGCUUCGAGUGUGGUUCCGGUCUAAGUUCCUUGGAACAGGACGUCAUAGAGGGUGAGAAUCCCGUAUGUGACUGGAUACCUAUGCUCAUGUGAAGCUCUUUCGACGAGUCGAGUUGUUUGGGAAUGCAGCUCAAAAUGGGUGGUAUAUUUCAUCUAAAGCUAAAUAUUGGCCAGAGACCGAUAGCGCACAAGUAGAGUGAUCGAAAGAUGAAAAGCACUUUGGAAAGAGAGUUAAACAGUACGUGAAAUUGUUGAAAGGGAAGCGCUUGCAAUCAGACUUGCACCUGAUGUUCAGCGGGGCUUCGUGCCCCGUGUACUUCAUCAGGUUCAGGCCAGCAUCGGUUUGGGUGGUUGGAUAAAGGCCUUGAGAAUGUGGCCCUCUUCGGGGGGUGUUAUAGCUCUCGGUGCAAUGCAGCCUACCUGGACCGAGGACCGCGCUUCGGCUAGGAUGCUGGCGUAAUGGUUGUAAGCGACCCGUCUUGAAACACGGACCAAGGAGUCUAACAUUUAUGCGAGUGUUUGGGUGUUAAACCCAUACGCGUAAUGAAAGUGAACGGAGGUGAGAGCCCUUUAAGGUGCAUCAUCGACCGAUCCUGAUGUCUUCGGAUGGAUUUGAGUAAGAGCAUAACUGUUGGGACCCGAAAGAUGGUGAACUAUGCGUGAAUAGGGUGAAGCCAGAGGAAACUCUGGUGGAGGCUCGCAGCGGUUCUGACGUGCAAAUCGAUCGUCAAAUUUGCGUAUAGGGGCGAAAGACUAAUCGAACCAUCUAGUAGCUGGCUUCCUGCCGAAGU
Molecule: ribosomal RNA, 887 nt
Filed under: Pycnopeziza sympodialis
Lineage: Eukaryota; Fungi; Ascomycota; Leotiomycetes; Helotiales; Sclerotiniaceae
Description: LSU rRNA
Rfam family: Eukaryotic large subunit ribosomal RNA
Source: RNAcentral